Cajanus cajan (pigeon pea) is the source of this 80-nucleotide non-coding RNA. The record is from Rfam. Lineage: Eukaryota; Viridiplantae; Streptophyta; Magnoliopsida; Fabales; Fabaceae.
AAGUAGAUAUGAUGAUUUUUAUCCAUAAAUUCUGCAAUAUAAUGAAUGAACACCAAACAUGCACUACCAUCUGGUCUCUU